GUUUCGAUUAUGGCUCAGGACGAACGCUGGUGNNNNGAUCGUNCAUGCAAGUCGAACGAACUCUGGUAUUGAUUGGGAGGCAUCAUGAUUUACAUUUGAGUGAGUGGCGAACUGGUGAGUAACACGUGGGAAACCUGCCCAGAAGCGGGGGAUAACACCUGGAAACAGAUGCUAAUACCGCAUAACAACUUGGACCGCAUGGUCCGAGCUUGAAAGAUGGCUUCGGCUAUCACUUUUGGAUGGUCCCGCGGCGUAUUAGCUAGAUGGUGGGGUAACGGCUCACCAUGGCAAUGAUACGUAGCCGACCUGAGAGGGUAAUCGGCCACAUUGGGACUGAGACACGGCCCAAACUCCUACGGGAGGCAGCAGUAGGGAAUCUUCCACAAUGGACGAAAGUCUGAUGGAGCAACGCCGCGUGAGUGAAGAAGGGUUUCGGCUCGUAAAACUCUGUUGUUAAAGAAGAACAUAUCUGAGAGUAACUGUUCAGGUAUUGACGGUAUUUAACCAGAAAGCCACGGCUAACUACGUGCCAGCAGCCGCGGUAAUACGUAGGUGGCAAGCGUUGUCCGGAUUUAUUGGGCGUAAAGCGAGCGCAGGCGGUUUUUUAAGUCUGAUGUGAAAGCCUUCGGCUCAACCGAAGAAGUGCAUCGGAAACUGGGAAGCUUGAGUGCAGAAGAGGACAGUGGAACUCCAUGUGUAGCGGUGAAAUGCGUAGAUAUAUGGAAGACACCAGUGGCGAAGCGGCUGUCUGGUCUGUAACUGACGCUGAGGCUCGAAAGUAUGGGUAGCAAACAGGAUUAGAUACCCUGGUAGUCCAUACCGUACACGAUGAAUGCUAAUUGUUGGGGGGUUUCUCGCUCUUUCAUUGCUUGCAUCUUACUGCAUUUAUUCAUUCUGUCUGGGGA
Molecule: ribosomal RNA, 905 nt
Filed under: Lactobacillus sp. B13
Lineage: Bacteria; Bacillati; Bacillota; Bacilli; Lactobacillales; Lactobacillaceae
Description: bacterial SSU rRNA
Rfam family: Bacterial small subunit ribosomal RNA
Source: RNAcentral